UGAAUCAUAUUCCUCAUCACGGCGUGCAAAUUUCUUGCGGAGCAUCGUCUCUAACUCAAUUUCAUCAAAGCUCUUUGCAUUUUCUGCUGCAUGAACUUGCGCCAAAUUGGUAUAAUUGAGAGCCGACUGAGAAAUGAAGGUCAUCUCUUCUUCUGUUAGCUUUCUUAGGAACUUGGCAGGGUUACCUCCCCAAACCUGUAUUUGUAAAGGAAAAUAUAUGUUAACAAGUUUGGAACUUCCUUUAUAACGUUUGCUUUUUGAGCUAAAAGUUGAUCCAAUUCAUCUCCCCCCAUGUUAAUCUAAAAAUUUUAACUCUGAGAGGACCACAAGCAAAGCCACCACCAAGGUUUUCUUGUCUAAUAAGUGUUAAAACUAACAUGUUUUAACCUUAUUUUUAAUGGGUUUUUGGAUAUUCAAUGUUAAUUAUGAGUUUUAUACUCCUAAUCCUUUAAAUUUAUUAUUUAAUGUUUAAUAGAGCACUUGGACGCAGAAGGAGCAAAAACCGAAGCGUCGGAGCAAGUUGUAGGAUCCACACGAGCUGAACCAUUUUACACAACCGUGUGACCCACACAGGCGUGUGGAUUUCGCGGAAUUGCGCACCGAACAGUGAAAAAUCACGAUUUUUGAGCUUUUUGGGCCUUCUAAGAUGUAUAUAUGACAAAAAUAAGAAGAAGAGAGCCGUUAGAGAAUACUCAAGAAAACAACUCGAAAAACACCAUUGAAGCCGACUUUGAAGUAGAUUUCCGUCAAUAUUGAAGAUUCUCAGUUGAUAUCUUAGAAAAAUAUCAUGAGUUUCUUUGUUUCUUUCAAUUAUACCAUAUUUUGGAUAUUUUUAUUUUCAAGCAUGAACUAAUUUUUUAAAUACUUAGGGGAGAUGAACCAUAUAAUGAAUUUUGUCGUUUGAUUUUUAUUUUACACAAUAAAUACUUAAUUCUUGCUCUCAAUUAUGUGUGCUUAAUUCUUGGUUUGAUAUUUCUAGAGUAUUGGUCCAUGUUUGAUGUGCUUAAAUCGAAUGUUGAAUAGACCCUAUUUAAAAGUAGAUCUUGCGUAAUUGAGUGAAGUUGCAUGCAAUCCUAGAAAUAGGACGAUAUAAAUAUACUGGAUUAGAAUCAAAUCUAAUAGGGAAAUCCAUAGUACGAAUUAAU
Molecule: long non-coding RNA, 1145 nt
Filed under: Gossypium raimondii (Peruvian cotton)
Lineage: Eukaryota; Viridiplantae; Streptophyta; Magnoliopsida; Malvales; Malvaceae
Description: long non-coding RNA (GRAI_LNC005351)
Source: RNAcentral